This 1108-nucleotide long non-coding RNA is filed under the name Marmota monax (woodchuck). Lineage: Eukaryota; Metazoa; Chordata; Mammalia; Rodentia; Sciuridae. The record is from RNAcentral.
CUUCUUUUAUGAACCAAACUGAAAAGUAGACACAUGAAUCAAAAAGAAGACAAUAAAAAUAUAAACUUUAAUUGUAAAGACAUUGGGUUUGCUGCAAAAAGGACUUCACAGCUGAACAAAAAAAAAAAAAAAACUUAGGGAUCACAGGCAGAACUGCAGUGUCCCAACUCUCAUGGUUCCCUACAUAGAGAAGGGAAAGAAAGACCACUUUUUCUAAAGGUCACCGAACUCACACUGAAAGUUUAGAGCUGCAUAUUCUAGGCCCUUCUCCCCAGUUCACAUACGGGGCAAGCCUCUCUUCUUUAGGGAAGAGUGAAUGAAGGCAGAGGUUCUGAAACCCUGCGCACUAAUGUUUUUAUUUUGUUUCUGUUUCAUAUGGCUGUUCAUCCCCUUUUUUCCCCUGAUUUAAAAAUACCAUUGCUUGACCAGGCACGGUGUCCCAUGCCUAUAAUCCCAGCGGCUCAGGAGGCUCAGGCAGGAGGUUCUCGAGUACAUAGCCAGCCUUAGCAACAGCAAGGUGCUAAGCAACUCAGUGAGACCCUGUCUCCAAAUACAAAAUAGGGCUGGGGGUGUGGCUCAGUGGUCAAGUACCCCUAAAUUCAACCCCUGGUACCCUCCCUCCCACAAAUAGCAUUGCUUCUUACUUGGCUCUACCAGUCUUCUCCAAAUUUUAAAUGCCACUUACUAUUGCUGAGGUUUGAAAGCCAAAUAAAUUUUGUAAAAAACAUAUUUUUAACUAAAUAAACACACUGACUUCAAUUCUCCUUAGAGGCCAGCUUUUGUAUUCAGGGUAAAGGAGGGUACUUCUAGAACCACGUGUCAAUUGUAAAAGAGACAAGUAGGUGGGUGGCACACACCUGUAAUCCCAAUGGCGCAAGAGGCUGAGGCAGGAGAAUUACAAAUUCAAAGUCAGCCUCAACAAUUUAGCAGUCUACUGUCUCAACACAAAGUAACAAAAAAGAAAGUUGGGCUGGGGAUGUGGCUUUUAAGUUCCCCUCAGUUCAAUCCCUGAUACAAAACAAACCCCCCCCCCCAAAAGCAAACAUUUUAGACUCAUUAUUUAAAAAAUAAAUAAAAAAUUUUAACUAAUUUGGCUUUAGAAUAUAAG